RNAcentral lists this ribosomal RNA (149 nucleotides) under uncultured bacterium. RNAcentral describes it as "partial 16S ribosomal RNA". The record is from RNAcentral.
CGGAUGCCAUGUACGCAGUCUGAUGCAGCACUGCCGCGUGUGUGAUGAAGGCCUUCGGGUUGUAAAGUUCUUUUAUCCGGGAUGAUAGUGUUGGGACCCUGAGAAUAAGCCCCUGCUAAUUCCCGUCCAACAACCGCGGGUAAUAAUCC